Molecule: ribosomal RNA, 568 nt
Filed under: uncultured bacterium
Lineage: Bacteria
Description: partial 16S ribosomal RNA
Rfam family: Bacterial small subunit ribosomal RNA
Source: RNAcentral
UGGGGAAUAUUGCACAAUGGGCGCAAGCCUGAUGCAGCCAUGCCGCGUGUGUGAAGAAGGCCUUCGGGUUGUAAAGCACUUUCAGCGAGGAGGAAGGUGGUGAGCUUAAUACGCUCAUCAAUUGACGUUACUCGCAGAAGAAGCACCGGCUAACUCCGUGCCAGCAGCCGCGGUAAUACGGAGGGUGCAAGCGUUAAUCGGAAUUACUGGGCGUAAAGCGCACGCAGGCGGUUUGUUAAGUCAGAUGUGAAAUCCCCGGGCUCAACCUGGGAACUGCAUUUGAAACUGGCAAGCUAGAGUCUCGUAGAGGGGGGUAGAAUUCCAGGUGUAGCGGUGAAAUGCGUAGAGAUCUGGAGGAAUACCGGUGGCGAAGGCGGCCCCCUGGACGAAGACUGACGCUCAGGUGCGAAAGCGUGGGGCAGCAAACAGGAUUAGAUACCCUGGUAGUCCACGCUGUAAACGAUGUCGAUUUGGAGGUUGUGCCCUUGGGGCGUGGCUUCCGGAGCUAACGCGUUAAAGUCGACCGCCUGGGGAGUACGGCCGCAAGGUUAAAACUCAAAUGAAUUGC